UCAAGUAAAAGCCAAACCUGUAGCGAUACAGGCACGGAAAGCCACGGGUCUCACGGGGAGACAGCCGGGUUGCCUUG
RNAcentral lists this non-coding RNA (77 nucleotides) under Desulfoluna spongiiphila. RNAcentral describes it as "GEMM cis-regulatory element". It matches the Rfam family "c-di-GMP-I-GGC riboswitch aptamer". The record is from RNAcentral. Lineage: Bacteria; Pseudomonadati; Thermodesulfobacteriota; Desulfobacteria; Desulfobacterales; Desulfolunaceae.